This 420-nucleotide ribosomal RNA is filed under the name uncultured Nostoc sp. Its description in RNAcentral is "bacterial SSU rRNA". It matches the Rfam family "Bacterial small subunit ribosomal RNA", at positions 356 to 790 of the family's 1533-position model. The record is from RNAcentral. Lineage: Bacteria; Bacillati; Cyanobacteriota; Cyanophyceae; Nostocales; Nostocaceae.
GGGGAAUCUUCCGCAAUGGGCGAAAGCCUGACGGAGCAAUACCGCGUGAGGGAGGAAGGCUCUUGGGUCGUAAACCUCUUUUCUCAGGGAAGAACACAAUGACGGUACCUGAGGAAUAAGCAUCGGCUAACUCCGUGCCAGCAGCCGCGGUAAUACGGAGGAUGCAAGCGUUAUCCGGAAUGAUUGGGCGUAAAGCGUCCGCAGGUGGCUAUGUAAGUCUGCUGUUAAAGAAUCUAGCUUAACUAGAUACAAGCAGUGGAAACUACAAGGCUAGAGUACGUUCGGGGCAGAGGGAAUUCCUGGUGUAGCGGUGAAAUGCGUAGAGAUCAGGAAGAACACCGGUGGCGAAGGCGCUCUGCUAGGCCGUAACUGACACUGAGGGACGAAAGCUAGGGGAGCGAAAGGGAUUAGAUACCCCUG